AGAGUUUGAUCCUGGCUCAGGACGAACGCUGGCGGCGUGCCUAACACAUGCAAGUCGAACGGUUUCAGGAGGUCAGCUUGCUGAUUUCCUGAGAUAGUGGCGGACGGGUGAGUAACGCGUGAGUAACCUGGCUCAGAGUGGGGAAUAACGUAGGGAAACCUGCACUAAUACCGCAUAAUGUACAGGGUUCGCAUGGACCUUGUACCAAAGGAGCAAUUCGCUUUGAGAUGGACUCGCGUCCGAUUAGAUAGUUGGCGGGGUAACGGCCCACCAAGUCAACGAUCGGUAGCCGGACUGAGAGGUUGAUCGGCCACAUUGGGACUGAGAUACGGCCCAGACUCCUACGGGAGGCAGCAGUGGGGGAUAUUAGACAAUGGGGGAAACCCUGAACGAGCAAUGCCGCGUGAGUGAUGAAGGCCCUAUGGGUUGUAAAACUCUGUUGUAUGGGAAGAACGGCUAUAUGAGGAAAUGCAUAUAGAGUGACGGUACCAUACCAGAAAGCUCCGGCUAACUACGUGCCAGCAGCCGCGGUAAUACGUAGGGAGCGAGCGUUAUCCGGAUUUAUUGGGCGUAAAGCGUGUGUAGGCGGUUUGUUAAGUUUAAGAUAAAAGCCCGGGGCUCAACUCCGGUUCGUCUUAAAAACUGGCAAGCUAGAGUGUGGUAGAGGUAAAUGGAAUUUCUAGUGUAGCGGUGAAAUGCGUAGAUAUUAGAAGGAACACCAGUGGCGAAGGCGAUUUACUGGGCCAUAACUGACGCUGAGGCACGAAAGCGUGGGGAGCAAAUAGGAUUAGAUACCCUAGUAGUCCACGCCGUAAACGAUGAGUACUAAGUGUUGGAAUUUCCAGUGCUGAAGCUAACGUAUUAAGUACUCCGCCUGAGUAGUACGGUCGCAAGGCUGAAACUCAAAGGAAUUGACGGGCACCCGCACAAGCGGUGGAGCAUGCUGUUUAAUUCGAAGAUACGCGAAGAACCUUACCUAGACUUGACAUCCCGGGCAAAGAUAUGGAAACAUAUUGGAGGCUAUCCCGGUGACAGGUGGUGCAUGGUUGUCGUCAGCUCGUGUCGUGAGAUGUUCGGUUAAGUCCGCUAACGAGCGCAACCCUUAUCCUUAGUUGCUAACAUUAAGUUGAGAACCCUAAGGAGACUGCCAGUGAUAAGCUGGAGGAAGGUGGGGAUGACGUCAAAUCAUCAUGCCCCUUACGUCUAGGGCUACAGGCGUGCUAUAAUGGCCAAUAUAAAGAGAAGCAAAGCCGUGAGGUAGAGCAAAACUCCAAAGUUGGUCUCAGUUCGGAUUGAGGUCUGCAACUCGACUUCAUGAAGUUAGAAUCGCUAGUAAUCCUGAAUCAGAAUGUCAGGGUGAAUACGUUCCCGGGUGUUGCACACACCGCCCGUCAA
Molecule: ribosomal RNA, 1395 nt
Filed under: uncultured bacterium
Lineage: Bacteria
Description: partial 16S ribosomal RNA
Rfam family: Bacterial small subunit ribosomal RNA
Source: RNAcentral